Molecule: ribosomal RNA, 497 nt
Filed under: uncultured bacterium
Lineage: Bacteria
Description: partial 16S ribosomal RNA
Rfam family: Bacterial small subunit ribosomal RNA
Source: RNAcentral
GAUGAACGCUGGCGGCGUGCCUAAUACAUGCAAGUCGAGCGAACAGACGAGGAGCUUGCUCCUCUGACGUUAGCGGCGGACGGGUGAGUAACACGUGGAUAACCUACCUAUAAGACUGGGAUAACUUCGGGAAACCGGAGCUAAUACCGGAUAAUAUAUUGAUCCGCAUGGUUCAAUAGUGAAAGACGGUUUUGCUGUCACUUAUAGAUGGAUCCGCGCCGCAUUAGCUAGUUGGUAAGGUAACGGCUUACCAAGGCAACGAUGCGUAGCCGACCUGAGAGGGUGAUCGGCCACACUGGAACUGAGACACGGUCCAGACUCCUACGGGAGGCAGCAGUAGGGAAUCUUCCGCAAUGGGCGAAAGCCUGACGGAGCAACGCCGCGUGAGUGAUGAAGGUCUUCGGAUCGUAAAACUCUGUUAUUAGGGAAGAACAAAUGUGUAAGUAACUGUGCACGUCUUGACGGUACCUAAUCAGAAAGCCACGGCUAACUACGUG